CCUACGGGAGGCAGCAGUAGGGAAUAUUGCUCAAUGGGGGAAACCCUGAAGCAGCAACGCCGCGUGGAGGAUGAAGGUUUUCGGAUUGUAAACUCCUUUUGUUAGAGAAGAUAAUGACGGUAUCUAACGAAUAAGCACCGGCUAACUCCGUGCCAGCAGCCGCGGUAAUACGGAGGGUGCAAGCGUUAUUCGGAAUCACUGGGCGUAAAGAGCGCGUAGGCGGGAUAGCAAGUCAGAUGUGAAAUCCUAUGGCUUAACCAUAGAACUGCAUUUGAAACUGUUAUUCUAGAGUAUGGGAGAGGUAGGUGGAAUUCUUGGUGUAGGGGUAAAAUGCGUAGAGAUCAAGAGGAAUACUGAUUGCGAAGGCGACCUGCUAGAACAUAACUGACGCUGAUGCGCGAAAGCGUGGGGAGCAAACAGGAUUAGAUACCCCAGUAGUC
This 440-nucleotide ribosomal RNA is filed under the name uncultured bacterium. Its description in RNAcentral is "partial 16S ribosomal RNA". It matches the Rfam family "Bacterial small subunit ribosomal RNA", at positions 338 to 795 of the family's 1533-position model. The record is from RNAcentral.